Molecule: transfer RNA, 84 nt
Filed under: Myxococcales bacterium
Lineage: Bacteria; Pseudomonadati; Myxococcota; Myxococcia; Myxococcales
Also listed under: 3 other names
Description: tRNA-Leu
Rfam family: tRNA
About the family: Transfer RNA (tRNA) molecules are approximately 80 nucleotides in length. Their secondary structure includes four short double-helical elements and three loops (D, anti-codon, and T loops). Further hydrogen bonds mediate the characteristic L-shaped molecular structure. tRNAs have two regions of fundamental functional importance: the anti-codon, which is responsible for specific mRNA codon recognition, and the 3' end, to which the tRNAs corresponding amino acid is attached (by aminoacyl-tRNA synthetases). tRNAs cope with the degeneracy of the genetic code in two manners: having more than one tRNA (with a specific anti-codon) for a particular amino acid; and 'wobble' base-pairing, i.e. permitting non-standard base-pairing at the 3rd anti-codon position.
Source: RNAcentral
GCGGAAGUGGCGGAACUGGCAGACGCGCCAGACUAAGGAUCUGGUGGAGUAAAAUCCGUGGAGGUUCGAGUCCUCUCUUCCGCA